AAACUUUCAACAACGGAUCUCUUGGUUCUGGCAUCGAUGAAGAACGCAGCGAAAUGCAAUACGUAAUGUGAAUUGCAGAAUUCCGUGAAUCAUCGAAUCUUUGAACGCACAUUGCGCCCGCCAGCAUUCUGGCGGGCAUGCCUGUUCGAGCGUCAUUU
RNAcentral lists this ribosomal RNA (158 nucleotides) under Cordyceps tenuipes. Its description in RNAcentral is "5.8S ribosomal RNA". It matches the Rfam family "5.8S ribosomal RNA". Rfam says of the family: 5.8S ribosomal RNA (5.8S rRNA) is a component of the large subunit of the eukaryotic ribosome. It is transcribed by RNA polymerase I as part of the 45S precursor that also contains 18S and 28S rRNA. The record is from RNAcentral. Lineage: Eukaryota; Fungi; Ascomycota; Sordariomycetes; Hypocreales; Cordycipitaceae.